UGGUGAAACUAUAUGUGAUAGUUGAUGUUGAAUAGUUAUAUGUUGAAUAUGAUAUUUAUCAUGAGAUGUUGUUUUCCCUAUUACUUGGAAUAUGAGAAUGCUUGAAAUGGUGAAACUAUAUGUGAUAGUUGAUGUUGAAUGACAUUGUUGAUUAUUGAUGAUCAUGUUGAUGUGGUGAUGAUGAAUGCUAUGAUUUAAUUGUGUA
Molecule: long non-coding RNA, 205 nt
Filed under: Medicago truncatula (barrel medic)
Lineage: Eukaryota; Viridiplantae; Streptophyta; Magnoliopsida; Fabales; Fabaceae
Description: long non-coding RNA (MTRU_LNC006292)
Source: RNAcentral